AUAUAGAGAGAAGCUAGCUUCUCUUGAGAGCGGCGGACGGGUGAGUAAUGCCUAGGAAUCUGCCUGGUAGUGGGGGAUAACGUUCGGAAACNGACGCUAAUACCGCAUACGUCCUACGGGAGAAAGCAGGGGACCUUCGGGCCUUGNGCUAUCAGAUGAGCCUAGGUCGGAUUAGCUAGUUGGUGGGGUAAUGGCUCACCAAGGCGACGAUCCGUAACUGGUCUGAGAGGAUGAUCAGUCACACUGGAACUGAGACACGGUCCAGACUCCUACGGGAGGCAGCAGUGGGGAAUAUUGGACAAUGGGCGAAAGCCUGAUCCAGCCAUGCCGCGUGUGUGAAGAAGGUCUUCGGAUUGUAAAGCACUUUAAGUUGGGAGGAAGGGCAGUUACCUAAUACGUGAUUGUUUUGACGUUACCGACAGAAUAAGCACCGGCUAACUCUGUGCCAGCAGCCGCGGUAAUACAGAGGGUGCAAGCGUUAAUCGGAAUUACUGGGCGUAAAGCGCGCGUAGGUGGUUUGUUAAGUUGGAUGUGAAAUCCCCGGGCUCAACCUGGGAACUGCAUUCAAAACUGACUGACUAGAGUAUGGUAGAGGGUGGUGGAAUUUCCUGUGUAGC
This 617-nucleotide ribosomal RNA is filed under the name Pseudomonas sp. H651. Its description in RNAcentral is "bacterial SSU rRNA". It matches the Rfam family "Bacterial small subunit ribosomal RNA", at positions 69 to 679 of the family's 1533-position model. The record is from RNAcentral. Lineage: Bacteria; Pseudomonadati; Pseudomonadota; Gammaproteobacteria; Pseudomonadales; Pseudomonadaceae.